This 93-nucleotide non-coding RNA is filed under the name pig gut metagenome. Its description in RNAcentral is "THF riboswitch". It matches the Rfam family "THF (Tetrahydrofolate) riboswitch aptamer". From Rfam's summary of the family: THF riboswitch presents a pseudoknot that joins P1-P2 and the loop of P3 and two THF binding. The record is from RNAcentral.
GCAGAGUAAACAUUCGAGCGUUAAGUGUUUGUCGGACGGGGAGUUGCCGACAAAACGAAGAUUUUUCGCGGUUCGUUUGUUGCAUCCCGCUGC